UGCGAUGGUCCCUGCGGAUGCUA
This 23-nucleotide non-coding RNA is filed under the name Arabidopsis thaliana (thale cress). Lineage: Eukaryota; Viridiplantae; Streptophyta; Magnoliopsida; Brassicales; Brassicaceae. The record is from RNAcentral.